Molecule: ribosomal RNA, 254 nt
Filed under: uncultured bacterium
Lineage: Bacteria
Description: partial 16S ribosomal RNA
Rfam family: Bacterial small subunit ribosomal RNA
Source: RNAcentral
UACGGGGGGGGGCAAGCGUUGUUCGGAAUUACUGGGCGUAAAGGCUCGUAGGCGGCCAACUAAGUCGGAUGUGAAAUCCCCAGGCUUAACCUGGGAACUGCAUCCGAUACUGGAUGGCUUGAAUCCGGGAGAGGGAUGCAGAAUUCCAGGUGUAGCGGUGAAAUGCGUAGAUAUCUGGAGGAAUACCGGUGGCGAAGGCGGCAUCCUGGACCGGCAUUGACGCUGAGGAGCGAAAGCUAGGGGAGCAAACGGGG